Molecule: long non-coding RNA, 2052 nt
Organism: Bubalus bubalis (water buffalo)
Lineage: Eukaryota; Metazoa; Chordata; Mammalia; Artiodactyla; Bovidae
Exons: 4
Source: RefSeq, a predicted model, not a curated record
CGGUGUCCUUAUAAGAAGAGGAAGCAAUGUCCUCCUGGACACAGAGGAGAAGCCAUCUGAAGAUACAGUGAAGACAUAUCUACAAGCCAGAAGAACAUGCCAGAAGCCAACUCUGACAGCAAACUUCAUCUUGGACGUCUAGCCUCCAGAGCUGAGAGAAACAAAUGCCUAUAUGCACCACUCUGUCCUAGCUAGUCUUUGCAAUUCAGGAAACGUGAGGUAAAGAAGACAGGAAUUCCAGGUUGAAGCCAUCAGGCUCCCAUCUGGUCACUAAGAAGAUGUUUAAGGCCACUUUCAACACUAUACUGAUAACGAAAAAGGAGAAAUCAUUGACGCUAGUAACUAGCAGAGACUGACCUCAAAUUGAGAUCUCUCAGACUCUAAAUUUAAGACACCUACUUCCAACAAUGUCUCUGUUGUAGGUCGACUUGUGUCCUCCCCCACCCCCAGAUUCAUGUUAAAGUCCUAACCCCAAGUAUCUGAGCUAUCUGGAAGCAAGGUUAUUAAAGAUGUAAUUCCUUAAGAUGAGAUCAUACCUGAUAAGGAUGGGCCCCCUAAUCCAACAGGAAUAAUAUCCUUACAAAAAGGGAAAAUAUGGACAUAGGCAUACACAUAGGAAAUGCCACAUGAAGUUGGAGGCAGAAACUGGGUGAUGGAGCAGAAGCCAAGGAAUGCCAAGGAUUGCCAGCAAACCACCAGAAGCCAGGAGAAAGACUGGGACAGAUUUUCCCUCACAUACCUCAGAAGGAGCCAACACUGCAGACACCUUGACUCUGAACUCCUUGUCUGCAGACUUUGAGACACUGAAUUUCCAAAGUUUAAACCACCUGGCUUAUGGUACUUUAUUAUGUCAGGCCUAGUAAACUAACACAGUCUCCUCUUUUCUCAUUCCCUUUCAUUAGUAUUAUCUGCAUAUUGAUUCUUUCAUAUGUAGAAUACCAAGUAAUUUUGAUUAUUUUUGAGGCCUUCCAAAAACUAAUAUAAUUUAUUUAGAAAAAUGGUCAUGAACUUCCAGCACUAUGGUAGUCUAGGUUACUCAAAACCACCUCCUUCUAUGAACAUAGAGGAAUGCUGGAUAAAAUAAGAGCAAAAAAUAUUUUAAAACAGUUAAAUUGAAAAGAAAUACAAGUUAGUCAGAGCUGAAGAGAAAUUUAGUAAACUAAAAAUAGAACUGAGGGUAUUACCUGUAAUUCAGCUCAGAGAAUCAUUUAGAGAUAACUGAAGUUAACACUUGAAGGGAAGGAUAUGAUGAAAAGUAAUAAUGCAUGUACAACAUUAAUUCAAUAAGGGAACAGACAGAAGAGGAAAGGGAGAAGCAAUAUUAAAAGUGCAAAUGGGAACUUCCCGGUGGUCCAUGGGCUGAGUCUGUGCUCCCAAUGCAGGGGGCCCAGGCUCGAUCCAUAAUCAGGGAACUAGAUCCCACGUGAGGCACUGAAGACAAAAGAUCUUGUGUGCCAGAACUAAGACCUGGUGCAGCCAAAUAAAUAAUUAAAAUAAUAUAUUUAUUAAAAAAACAAAGUGCAAAGGAUUCAAAAUUACCCAUAAUUGAAGAAAGGCAUGAGUGUUGAAGCAAAGCAAUGAGUAUCAAACGUGAUGAAUGAAGGACAAACCCAUACUUCAACAUUUCAUUAAGAAACUUCCUAAAUAUAAAAACCCCUAAAAUUCCUAAAAAUAAUGACUACUAUAUUGAAACAGUCCUACAAUCAACCUCAAUAAAGGAGAGAAGACAGGGAAAGUAUACAUUUAAUGUGUAAAAGGAAAAGAUCUGUCACUCUAGAAUUGUAUAUCCAGUUGGACUUUCCAUCAAGAGUGAGGUAAAAAUAGACAUUUUCAGUCAAAUUGCAGAGAAUGUAGCACUCACAGAUCUUACUGAAGGAAGUGCUACCAGAAGCACUUCAACAGAAUAAAAUUUAACUCAGAAGAAAAUGCUGAAUAUAAAAUACAAUAACAAGCAAAUACGUUAAUGAAUGUAUUGGUUAUAAAAAGGAGCCAGGCCUCGCUGUCCAUCACCAACUCCCAGAGUUCACUCAGACUCACGUCCAUCGAGUCAGU